This 395-nucleotide ribosomal RNA is filed under the name Bifidobacterium longum. Its description in RNAcentral is "bacterial SSU rRNA". It matches the Rfam family "Bacterial small subunit ribosomal RNA", at positions 379 to 786 of the family's 1533-position model. The record is from RNAcentral. Lineage: Bacteria; Bacillati; Actinomycetota; Actinomycetes; Bifidobacteriales; Bifidobacteriaceae.
CAGCCUGAUGCAGCGACGCCGCGUGAGGGAUGGAGGCCUUCGGGUUGUAAACCUCUUUUAUCGGGGAGCAAGCGAGAGUGAGUUUACCCGUUGAAUAAGCACCGGCUAACUACGUGCCAGCAGCCGCGGUAAUACGUAGGGUGCAAGCGUUAUCCGGAAUUAUUGGGCGUAAAGGGCUCGUAGGCGGUUCGUCGCGUCCGGUGUGAAAGUCCAUCGCUUAACGGUGGAUCCGCGCCGGGUACGGGCGGGCUUGAGUGCGGUAGGGGAGACUGGAAUUCCCGGUGUAACGGUGGAAUGUGUAGAUAUCGGGAAGAACACCAAUGGCGAAGGCAGGUCUCUGGGCCGUUACUGACGCUGAGGAGCGAAAGCGUGGGGAGCGAACAGGAUUAGAUACC